RNAcentral lists this unclassified non-coding RNA (18 nucleotides) under Mus musculus (house mouse). Its description in RNAcentral is "oocyte_clustered_small_RNA2492". Lineage: Eukaryota; Metazoa; Chordata; Mammalia; Rodentia; Muridae. The record is from RNAcentral.
UUCGCCAGUAUCUGCUGU